GUCGCUGUGUCCAUUUCUUUUACUGUCUAUGGCUCUGACAGACGGCUUCCCCUGCUUGCCUCCUCUCUCCUCUUCCUUUCUCUUUAAAUAAACAUUCAUUAGACUACAUGACAAAUGGUCAACCAGCUGCCAAAGGCCCCUCCCCCUGUCGUCACGGCGAUCAAGGCGAAGGCGGAGCCUGACGCUCUGCACACCCAGGACGCUCGGUAUCCAGGAGACAGUGGAAUCCUCCAAAUCCCUGCCACGCA
This is a long non-coding RNA of Carassius auratus (goldfish), 248 nucleotides long. RefSeq lists it as uncharacterized. Lineage: Eukaryota; Metazoa; Chordata; Actinopteri; Cypriniformes; Cyprinidae. The record is from RefSeq and is a predicted model, not a curated record. The transcript is spliced from 3 exons.